RNAcentral lists this ribosomal RNA (310 nucleotides) under uncultured eukaryote. RNAcentral's name for it is "partial 18S ribosomal RNA". It matches the Rfam family "Eukaryotic small subunit ribosomal RNA", at positions 1470 to 1796 of the family's 1831-position model. The record is from RNAcentral.
CCCUUAGAUGUUCUGGGCUGCACGCGUGCUACACUGAUUACUUCAACAAGUGUUUUAACUGGAGAGUUUGCGUAAUCCUGAAAUGUUAUCGUGAUGGGAGUAGAGUAUUGUAUUUGUUAAUCUUUAACGAGGAAUUCCUAGUAAGUGUAGGUUUAUAAGUUGUUCUGAUUACGUCCCUGCCCUUUGUACACACCGCCCGUCGCUCCUACCGAUUGAUUGAUCCGGUGAAUUACACAGAAUUUUGCGUUUUACAUGACGGAAGAUGAAGUGUUUUAAACCUUAUCAUUUAGAGGAAGGAGAAGUCGUAACA